UAGUCCACGCCCUAAACGAUGUCAACUGGGUGUUGGGGAAGCGAUUCCUUGGUACCGUAGCUAACGCGUGAAGUUGACCGCCUGGGGAGUACGGCCGCAAGGUUAAAACUCAAAGGAAUUGACGGGGACCCGCACAAGCGGUGGAUGAUGUGGAUUAAUUCGAUGCAACGCGAACAACCUUACCUACCCUUGACAUGUCUGGGAGCCUCCUGAGAGGGGGGUGUGCCCGAAAGGGAACCGGAACAC
This 246-nucleotide ribosomal RNA is filed under the name uncultured bacterium. RNAcentral's name for it is "partial 16S ribosomal RNA". It matches the Rfam family "Bacterial small subunit ribosomal RNA", at positions 791 to 1035 of the family's 1533-position model. The record is from RNAcentral.